RNAcentral lists this ribosomal RNA (253 nucleotides) under uncultured bacterium. RNAcentral's name for it is "partial 16S ribosomal RNA". It matches the Rfam family "Bacterial small subunit ribosomal RNA", at positions 524 to 776 of the family's 1533-position model. The record is from RNAcentral.
UACGGGGGGGGCAAGCGUUGUUCGGAAUUACUGGGCGUAAAGGGCUCGUAGGCGGCCAACUAAGUCAGACGUGAAAUCCCUCGGCUUAACCGGGGAACUGCCUCUGAUACUGGAUGGCUUGAGAUUGGGAGAGGGAUGCGGAAUUCCAGGUGUAGCGGUGAAAUGCGUAGAUAUCAGGAGGAACACCGGUGGCGAAGGCGGCUCUCUGGACGGUGACUGACGCUGAGACGCGAAAGCGUGGGGAGCAAACAGG